This 457-nucleotide ribosomal RNA is filed under the name uncultured bacterium. Its description in RNAcentral is "partial 16S ribosomal RNA". It matches the Rfam family "Bacterial small subunit ribosomal RNA", at positions 28 to 523 of the family's 1533-position model. The record is from RNAcentral.
GAUGAACGCUGGCGGCGUGCCUAAUACAUGCAAGUCGUACGGAAAGGCCCUUCGGGGUACUCGAGUGGCGGACGGCUGAGUAACGCGUGGGAACGUGCCCCAAAGUGAGGGAUAACGCACCGAAAGGUGUGCUAAUACCGCAUAUGGUCUUCGGAUUAAAGCUUCGGCGCUUUGGGAGCGGCCCGCGUACGAUUAGAUAGUUGGUGAGGUAAUAGCUCACCAAGUCGACGAUCGUUAGCUGGUCUGAGAGGAUGAUCAGCCAGACUGGGACUGAGACAAGGCCCAGACUCCUACGGGAGGCAGCAGUAAGGAAUCUUCCACAAUGGGGGCAACCCUGAUGGAGCAACGCCGCGUGCAGGAUGAAGGUUUUCGGAUCGUAAACUGCUUUUAUAAGUGAAGAAUAUGACGGUAACUUAUGAAUAAGGAUCGGCUAACUACGUGCCAGCCGCCGCUGUAA